This 2782-nucleotide ribosomal RNA is filed under the name Pseudomonas aeruginosa. RNAcentral's name for it is "bacterial LSU rRNA". It matches the Rfam family "Bacterial large subunit ribosomal RNA". Lineage: Bacteria; Pseudomonadati; Pseudomonadota; Gammaproteobacteria; Pseudomonadales; Pseudomonadaceae. The record is from RNAcentral.
UCAAGUGAAGAAGCGCAUACGGUGGAUGCCUUGGCAGUCAGAGGCGAUGAAAGACGUGGUAGCCUGCGAAAAGCUUCGGGGAGUCGGCAAACAGACUUUGAUCCGGAGAUCUCUGAAUGGGGGAACCCACCUAGGAUAACCUAGGUAUCUUGUACUGAAUCCAUAGGUGCAAGAGGCGAACCAGGGGAACUGAAACAUCUAAGUACCCUGAGGAAAAGAAAUCAACCGAGAUUCCCUUAGUAGUGGCGAGCGAACGGGGAUUAGCCCUUAAGCUUCAUUGAUUUUAGCGGAACGCUCUGGAAAGUGCGGCCAUAGUGGGUGAUAGCCCCGUACGCGAAAGGAUCUUUGAAGUGAAAUCGAGUAGGACGGAGCACGAGAAACUUUGUCUGAACAUGGGGGGACCAUCCUCCAAGGCUAAAUACUACUGACUGACCGAUAGUGAACCAGUACCGUGAGGGAAAGGCGAAAAGAACCCCGGAGAGGGGAGUGAAAUAGAACCUGAAACCGUAUGCGUACAAGCAGUGGGAGCCUACUUGUUAGGUGACUGCGUACCUUUUGUAUAAUGGGUCAGCGACUUAUAUUCAGUGGCAAGCUUAACCGUAUAGGGUAGGCGUAGCGAAAGCGAGUCUUAAUAGGGCGUUUAGUCGCUGGGUAUAGACCCGAAACCGGGCGAUCUAUCCAUGAGCAGGUUGAAGGUUAGGUAACACUGACUGGAGGACCGAACCCACUCCCGUUGAAAAGGUAGGGGAUGACUUGUGGAUCGGAGUGAAAGGCUAAUCAAGCUCGGAGAUAGCUGGUUCUCCUCGAAAGCUAUUUAGGUAGCGCCUCAUGUAUCACUCUGGGGGGUAGAGCACUGUUUCGGCUAGGGGGUCAUCCCGACUUACCAAACCGAUGCAAACUCCGAAUACCCAGAAGUGCCGAGCAUGGGAGACACACGGCGGGUGCUAACGUCCGUCGUGAAAAGGGAAACAACCCAGACCGCCAGCUAAGGUCCCAAAGUUGUGGUUAAGUGGUAAACGAUGUGGGAAGGCUUAGACAGCUAGGAGGUUGGCUUAGAAGCAGCCACCCUUUAAAGAAAGCGUAAUAGCUCACUAGUCGAGUCGGCCUGCGCGGAAGAUGUAACGGGGCUCAAACCACACACCGAAGCUGCGGGUGUCACGUAAGUGACGCGGUAGAGGAGCGUUCUGUAAGCCUGUGAAGGUGAGUUGAGAAGCUUGCUGGAGGUAUCAGAAGUGCGAAUGCUGACAUGAGUAACGACAAUGGGUGUGAAAAACACCCACGCCGAAAGACCAAGGGUUCCUGCGCAACGUUAAUCGACGCAGGGUUAGUCGGUUCCUAAGGCGAGGCUGAAAAGCGUAGUCGAUGGGAAACAGGUUAAUAUUCCUGUACUUCUGGUUACUGCGAUGGAGGGACGGAGAAGGCUAGGCCAGCUUGGCGUUGGUUGUCCAAGUUUAAGGUGGUAGGCUGAAAUCUUAGGUAAAUCCGGGGUUUCAAGGCCGAGAGCUGAUGACGAGUCGUCUUUUAGAUGACGAAGUGGUUGAUGCCAUGCUUCCAAGAAAAGCUUCUAAGCUUCAGGUAACCAGGAACCGUACCCCAAACCGACACAGGUGGUCGGGUAGAGAAUACCAAGGCGCUUGAGAGAACUCGGGUGAAGGAACUAGGCAAAAUGGCACCGUAACUUCGGGAGAAGGUGCGCCGGCUAGGGUGAAGGAUUUACUCCGUAAGCUCUGGCUGGUCGAAGAUACCAGGCCGCUGCGACUGUUUAUUAAAAACACAGCACUCUGCAAACACGAAAGUGGACGUAUAGGGUGUGACGCCUGCCCGGUGCCGGAAGGUUAAUUGAUGGGGUUAGCGCAAGCGAAGCUCUUGAUCGAAGCCCCGGUAAACGGCGGCCGUAACUAUAACGGUCCUAAGGUAGCGAAAUUCCUUGUCGGGUAAGUUCCGACCUGCACGAAUGGCGUAACGAUGGCGGCGCUGUCUCCACCCGAGACUCAGUGAAAUUGAAAUCGCUGUGAAGAUGCAGUGUAUCCGCGGCUAGACGGAAAGACCCCGUGAACCUUUACUGUAGCUUUGCACUGGACUUUGAGCCUGCUUGUGUAGGAUAGGUGGGAGGCUUUGAAGCGUGGACGCCAGUUCGCGUGGAGCCAUCCUUGAAAUACCACCCUGGCAUGCUUGAGGUUCUAACUCUGGUCCGUNNAGAGUAUAAAGGCAAAAGCGCGCUUGACUGCGAGACAGACACGUCGAGCAGGUACGAAAGUAGGUCUUAGUGAUCCGGUGGUUCUGUAUGGAAGGGCCAUCGCUCAACGGAUAAAAGGUACUCCGGGGAUAACAGGCUGAUACCGCCCAAGAGUUCAUAUCGACGGCGGUGUUUGGCACCUCGAUGUCGGCUCAUCACAUCCUGGGGCUGAAGCCGGUCCCAAGGGUAUGGCUGUUCGCCAUUUAAAGUGGUACGCGAGCUGGGUUUAGAACGUCGUGAGACAGUUCGGUCCCUAUCUGCCGUGGACGUUUGAGAUUUGAGAGGGGCUGCUCCUAGUACGAGAGGACCGGAGUGGACGAACCUCUGGUGUUCCGGUUGUCACGCCAGUGGCAUUGCCGGGUAGCUAUGUUCGGAAAAGAUAACCGCUGAAAGCAUCUAAGCGGGAAACUUGCCUCAAGAUGAGAUCUCACUGGGAACUUGAUUCCCCUGAAGGGCCGUCGAAGACUACGACGUUGAUAGGCUGGGUGUGUAAGCGUUGUGAGGCGUUGAGCUAACCAGUACUAAUUGCCCGUGAGGCUUGACCAU